UUAUCCGGCAGGGUUAGCUGUAUAUUUGUAGAGAUAUCUACCGAUUUGAAUGUCUUUUUGAUAUUAUCUAAUUUAAUUGAAAGGCUCUCGUGUGUUUCAGAAGUGCUGAUGUAGUAUGUUACGCCUCAAUUGAUAGCUUCUGCCAAGGUAGUUGUGAGUUGUAAGUUGUAUGACGGCAUGCUGAUUUAGUAUGUUACGCCUCAAUAGAUGGCUACGUUCUGCCAAGGUUGUUGAGAGUUGUAUGACGGCACUUAGCUGUUGUAAUCUUCUGAUUUUUACGUUUGAUUCUGGCUCUAUAGUUGGUAAGAAAAAUACUGUUAGUAUCUUAA
Molecule: long non-coding RNA, 329 nt
Filed under: Nicotiana benthamiana
Lineage: Eukaryota; Viridiplantae; Streptophyta; Magnoliopsida; Solanales; Solanaceae
Description: long non-coding RNA (NBEN_LNC017750)
Source: RNAcentral